GGAAGAAAUACUUCCAGUGUGCUUCAGUGGAGGGAAAUUCUCGCAGAGAUUGAGCUGUCUGGUCCCACUGAAGGGCUGCCGGCAGAGGCCCUGCAGCGGGAUUGACGUUGCAGUAAUUACCAGGCCCAUGGGCCCUCCGACCCCGCUUCACCACGAGGCAUGCUGGCAGCAGAUCUGAGGAUCGCUGGCAUUAUCUCAGCACCAAAGACCCAAAGGCAAGUUGUCACCUGAACUGCAGAGAAAUCAGUGCUAGCAGUGGGAGGCAGGGCUUGUUAGUGCUGAGGAAAACAAUGCGAUCUCUUCCCAGUGGGGCUGAAGGAGUUUAAAGGAGAAACAUCUCCAUCAGAAAGUGACCAGGAAUGAAAUGUUCUCCCAGUGCUCAUGCAGAACUGCACGUCGACAGAAGAAAACAACUGAUGUCUAUUUUCUGUCUGAAAGAAUUCCUGCGGCUCCAACUCAAACAAAAACUAUCCCAAACAGAGCUGAAGAUAAUAAGCCAAAAAUUCAGAGGAACUGCGUUCACUUUGACCAGAUCCGAUCCACAUUGUCUACAGAGACUUCUAUCUGCACAAAUAACCUCGUUGGACUAUUGCACUCUUGGCAUUUUGGUAAGGAACAGUUUUGAGUAGAUCUAUAUUAAGGCCAUAUUUUGAUCCAACGCACAAGCAUGGAACUGUCUCACUCCCUCCUCUCUCAUGUGGAGCGCUACCUGGAGAAAAGAAACAGCACUGACUUUGAAUAAUCCAGUCUGGAGCGGGGCCAGGGCUUGGGCUCCUCCUUGCCAGCUGCAGGGCCCCAGUGCUGCGAAUGCUUCCAAAGGCUGCGUUGCCUCCAUGAGUGCCAGAAUGGAUCAACACACCGGCUCCAGCCAGAAGUGGACUCAAAGUAGCUGUUGUUCCUUCUCCCUAAGGAGCAUUUUCAGAGGAAUGCAUCAGAGAACUUUCUCAGCACUGAGAUUUCUCCCCAGUCAUCUGGCACCUCUCUCCUCAUCAUGCGUUGCUUCAAACCACCCAGAGAAAAUUUAAAUCAUACAGUUUCACAAGAUCACGAGCCUCCUGUACUAUAUUCUUUUCCUCUCAUGAUCUAAUGACCACAGCUUGGGAAAUUCUGCCAUGUUUCUAACUUGAGGA
Molecule: long non-coding RNA, 1130 nt
Filed under: Numida meleagris (helmeted guineafowl)
Lineage: Eukaryota; Metazoa; Chordata; Aves; Galliformes; Numididae
Description: lncRNA (ENSNMEG00000011249.1)
Source: RNAcentral